GCGCAGCAGUCGCGAAACCUCCGCAAUGCGGGAAACCGCGACGGGGGACCCCGAGUGCCGUGGCAACGCCACGGCUUUUCCGGAGUGUAAAAAGCUCCGGGAAUAAGGGCUGGGCAAGGCCGGUGGCAGCCGCCGCGGUAAUACCGGCGGCCCGAGUGGUGGCCGCUAUUAUUGGGCCUAAAGCGUCCGUAGCCGGGCCCGUAAGUCCCUGGCGAAAUCCCACGGCUCAACCGUGGGGCUUGCUGGGGAUACUGCGGGUCUUGGGACCGGGAGAGGCGGGGGGUACCCCUGGGGUAGGGGUGAAAUCCUAUAAUCCCAGGGGGGCCGCCAGUGGCGAAGGCGCCCCGCUGGAACGGGUCCGACGGUGAGGGACGAAGGCCAGGGGAGCAAACCGGAUUAGAUACCCGCGUAGU
Molecule: ribosomal RNA, 413 nt
Filed under: uncultured microorganism
Description: bacterial SSU rRNA
Rfam family: Archaeal small subunit ribosomal RNA
Source: RNAcentral